UACGUGAGGGUGCGAGCGUUAAUCGGAAUUACUGGGCGUAAAGCGUGCGCAGGCGGUUCGUUGUGUCGGCGGUGAAAGCCCCGGGCUCAACCUGGGAAUGGCCGUUGAAACUGGCGAACUGGAGUGUGGCAGAGGGGGGUGGAAUUCCGCGUGUAGCAGUGAAAUGCGUAGAGAUGCGGAGGAACACCGAUGGCGAAGGCAGCCCCCUGGGCUGACACUGACGCUCAGGCACGAAAGCGUGGGGAGCAAACAGG
This 254-nucleotide ribosomal RNA is filed under the name uncultured bacterium. RNAcentral describes it as "partial 16S ribosomal RNA". It matches the Rfam family "Bacterial small subunit ribosomal RNA", at positions 524 to 776 of the family's 1533-position model. The record is from RNAcentral.